ACUCAAAGGAAUUGACGGGGGCCCGCACAAGCAGCGGAGCGUGUGGUUUAAUUCGAGGCUACACGAAGAACCUUACCCAGGUUUGACAUAGGUGUGGUAGCGAAGCGAAAGCUGAGCGACCCGUAAGGGAGCAUCAACAGGUGCUGCAUGGCUGUCGUCAGCUCGUGUCGUGAGAUGUUCGGUUAAGUCCGAAAACGAGCGCAACCCCCGGUGCCAGUUACACGUGUCUGGCGCGACUGCCCGCGAGAAGCGGGAGGAAGGUGGGGAUGACGUCAAGUCAGCAUGGCCUUUAUAUCUGGGGCUACACACACGCUACAAUGGGCGGUACAGUGGGUUGCGAGACCGCGAGGUGGAGCCAAUCCCAAAAAGCCGUUCGUAGUUCGGAUUGUAGGCUGCAACUCGCCUGCAUGAAGCCGGAGUUGCUAGUAACCGCGUAUCAGCCAUGGCGCGGUGAAUACGUUCCCGGGCCUUGCACACACCGCCCGU
Molecule: ribosomal RNA, 486 nt
Filed under: uncultured bacterium
Lineage: Bacteria
Description: partial 16S ribosomal RNA
Rfam family: Bacterial small subunit ribosomal RNA
Source: RNAcentral